AAAAAGAUUUAAGAAUCAGGCCGGGCAUUUGCUGUCCGUCGACACGGUCGUACAUCCAGCCGGUUGCCUGGUUCCUUGCAUUGAGUGAUGUACGGAGUUAAAGAGC
RNAcentral lists this non-coding RNA (106 nucleotides) under Pluralibacter gergoviae. RNAcentral's name for it is "iscR stability element". It matches the Rfam family "iscR stability element". The record is from RNAcentral. Lineage: Bacteria; Pseudomonadati; Pseudomonadota; Gammaproteobacteria; Enterobacterales; Enterobacteriaceae.